This 450-nucleotide ribosomal RNA is filed under the name uncultured bacterium. RNAcentral's name for it is "bacterial SSU rRNA". It matches the Rfam family "Bacterial small subunit ribosomal RNA", at positions 32 to 461 of the family's 1533-position model. The record is from RNAcentral.
AAUCAACGCUGGCGGCGUGCCUCAGACAUGCAAGUCGAACGCGAAAGUCCCCUUCGGGGGACAAGUAGAGUGGCGCACGGGUGAGUAACACGUAGGUAAUCUACCUUCGGAUGGGGAAUAACAAUCGGAAACGGUUGCUAAUACCGCAUAAUGCAGCGGCACCUAAUGGUGACAGUUGUUAAAGCGGGGGAUCGAAAGACCUCGCGUCUGAAGAGGAGCCUGCGGCGGAUUAGCUAGUUGGUAAGGUAAUGGCUUACCAAGGCGACGAUCCGUAACCGGCCUGAGAGGGCGGUCGGUCACACUGACACUGACAUACGGGUCAGACUCCUACGGGAGGCAGCAGUCGGGAAUUUUGGGCAAUGGGCGAAAGCCUGACCCAGCAACGCCGCGUGAAGGAUGAAAUCCCUCGGGACGUAAACUUCGCAAGAACGGGAAGAAUAAGUAGGGGAC